This 253-nucleotide ribosomal RNA is filed under the name uncultured bacterium. RNAcentral describes it as "partial 16S ribosomal RNA". It matches the Rfam family "Bacterial small subunit ribosomal RNA", at positions 524 to 776 of the family's 1533-position model. The record is from RNAcentral.
UACGUAGGUGGCAAGCGUUGUCCGGAUUUAUUGGGCGUAAAGCGCGCGCAGUCGGUCUUUUCAGUCUGAUGUGAAAUCUUGCGGCUCAACCGCAAGCGGUCAUUGGAAACUGGGGGACUUGAGUACAGAAGAGGAAAGCGGAAUUCCACGUGUAGCGGUGAAAUGCGUAGAGAUGUGGAGGAACACCAGUGGCGAAGGCGGCUUUCUGGUCUGUAACUGACGCUGAGGCGCGAAAGCGUGGGGAGCAAACAGG